CAGCUCCAUGUUGUGCCAGUGCUUGGCGUCGUGCAGCGAGUUCUCCAGGCCUCGUUUCUGCAAGAGAGCCAACUUGUUCACCCCAGGGCCCAUGGCUGGCCCUCCAGGGAGAGGUGGGCAGAGCGGGGUCUGCAGUUUAUGACAACGACGACCUCGUCUUUGCUUACAUAUACUGGAAAUUGCUUCAUUUGUGAGUAGUUGUUGAUGUUGGACUUAUAACACUUGUGAUUUGGAAACACUUCAUAGAAUUAUGGUUGGAUCUUCCGUCUAUGGCUUUUGCUCCAUAUUUGAGAUCCUUUCCUCAUGCCCCCUUGCACUGCCCCAGAGCCUAUCAUCAGCCUCAGUGAACUCCAGAUCUCAGCUGGACAAGCAUCACACCAACCAACUCUUUCACACACUCUGCUGUGCACCAACAAUGCUUGUGGUUAGAAUGGUAGAAGUGACCUCCUUGGAGGAGACCCUAGAAGGAGUAGUGCCUCAUAUCUACCUAACAGACUUUUAGUCCAUGCCAGAGAACAGAGGGUGGAUGGCUGUAUAAUCAUAUAGUUGUCCCUUGGUGUCUGUGGAGGAUCAGCUUCAGAAACCUAUGGGUACCCAAACCUGGAUGCCCAAGUCCCUUACAGAAAAGGGUGUAGUAUUUGCAUAUAACCUAUGCAAUACUCCUGUAGAGCUCUUAUAAAUCUCUUUAAACUCUCUCUAGAGUGUGGAUACCCAAUACAAUGUAAAUGCUACAUAAACAGUUGUAUUUUUAGGGGAUAACAAUAA
Molecule: long non-coding RNA, 765 nt
Organism: Heterocephalus glaber (naked mole-rat)
Lineage: Eukaryota; Metazoa; Chordata; Mammalia; Rodentia; Bathyergidae
Source: RefSeq, a predicted model, not a curated record